This 314-nucleotide unclassified non-coding RNA is filed under the name plant metagenome. RNAcentral describes it as "partial contains 5.8S ribosomal RNA, internal transcribed spacer 2, and large subunit ribosomal RNA". The stretch from base 1 to 105 matches the Rfam family "5.8S ribosomal RNA", at positions 50 to 154 of the family's 154-position model. The record is from RNAcentral.
GAAAUGCGAUAAUUAAUGUGAAUUGCAGAAUUCAGUGAAUCAUCGAGUCUUUGAACGCACAUUGCGCCCCCUGGUAUUCCGGGGGGCAUGCCUGUCCGAGCGUCCUUGCUGCCCUCAAGCACGGCUUGUGUGUUGGGCUUCCGUCCCUGGCAACGGGGACGGGCCCAAAAGGCAGUGGCGGCACCAUGUCUGGUCCUCGAGCGUAUGGGGCUUUGUCACCCGCUCCCGUAGGUCCAGCUGGCAGCUAGCCUCGCAACCAAUCUUUUUAACCAGGUUGACCUCGGAUCAGGUAGGGAUACCCGCUGAACUUAAGC